GAUGAACGCUGGCGGCGUGCCUAAUACAUGCAAGUCGAGCGAACGGACGAGGAGCUUGCUCCUCUGACGUUAGCGGCGGACGGGUGAGUAACACGUGGAUAACCUACCUAUAAGACUGGGAUAACUUCGGGAAACCGGAGCUAAUACCGGAUAAUAUAUUGAACCGCAUGGUUCAAUAGUGAAAGACGGUUUUGCUGUCACUUAUAGAUGGAUCCGCGCCGCAUUAGCUAGUUGGUAAGGUAACGGCUUACCAAGGCGACGAUGCGUAGCCGACCUGAGAGGGUGAUCGGCCACACUGGAACUGAGACACGGUCCAGACUCCUACGGGAGGCAGCAGUAGGGAAUCUUCCGCAAAGGGCGAAAGCCUGACGGAGCAACGCCGCGUGAGUGAUGAAGGUCUUCGGAUCGUAAAACUCUGUUAUUAGGGAAGAACAAAUGUGUAAGUAACUAUGCACGUCUUGACGGUACCUAAUCAGAAAGCCACGGCUAACUACGUG
Molecule: ribosomal RNA, 497 nt
Filed under: uncultured bacterium
Lineage: Bacteria
Description: partial 16S ribosomal RNA
Rfam family: Bacterial small subunit ribosomal RNA
Source: RNAcentral